This 1421-nucleotide ribosomal RNA is filed under the name metagenome. RNAcentral's name for it is "bacterial SSU rRNA". It matches the Rfam family "Bacterial small subunit ribosomal RNA". The record is from RNAcentral.
AGAGUUUGAUCCUGGCUCAGGAUGAACGCUGGCGGCAUGCCUAACACAAGCAAGUCGAACGACCUUUUGGUAGUGGCGGACGGGUGAGUAACGCGUAAGUUAUUUACAUUUAGGUGAGGGAUAACAGAUGGAAACGUUUGCUAAUACCUCGUAAUUCUAGAAAUAGAUAAAGAUUUAUCACCUAAUUAAAAGCUUGCGUCUGAUUAGCUUGUUGGUGAGGUAAUGGCUUACCAAGGCUUUGAUCAGUAGCUGUUUUGAGAAGAUGGACAGCCACACUGGGACUGAGAUACGGAACAGACUCCUACGGGAGGCAGCAGUGGGGAAUAUUUGGCAAUGGGCGAAAGCUUGACCAAGCAAUGCCGCGUGGAGGAUGAAUGCCCUCGGGUUGUAAACUCCUUUUCCCAAUGAAGAAGAUAUGACGGUAGUUGAGGAAUAAGCAUCGGCUAACUCCGUGCCAGCAGCCGCGGUAAUACGGGGGAUGCAAGCGUUAUCCGGAAUUAUUGGGCGUAAAGCGUCUGUAGAUGGUUUUUUAAGUUCCAUGUCAAAUAUCGAGGCUUAACUUCGAAACGGCAUUGAAAACUAAGAGACUUGAGUACGAUAGAGGUAGAGGGAAUUUCCAGUGUAGCGGUGAAAUGCGUAGAUAUUGGAAAGAACACCAAUGGCGAAGGCACUCUACUAGGUUGAUACUGACAUUGAGAGACGAAAGCGAGGGUAGCAAACAGGAUUAGAUACCCUGGUAGUCCUCGCUGUAAACGAUGGAUACUAAGUGGUGCUUUUUGUACUGCUGUAGCUAACGCGUUAAGUAUCCCGCCUGGGGAGUACGCUUGCAAAAGUGAAACUCAAAGGAAUUGACGGGGGCCCGCACAAGCGGUGGAGCAUGUGGUUUAAUUCGUCGUACCCGAGAAUCUUACCGGGGUUUGACAUGUUAGGAAGUUUUCUGAAAAGAAGAUGUGCCGUUUGGAACCUAAACACAGGUGGUGCAUGGCUGCCGUCAGCUCGUGUCGUGAGAUGUUGGGUUAAGUCCCGCAACGAGCGCAACCCUUGUUUUUAGUUAUUUUUCUAAAAAGACUACCGAUGAUAAAUCGGAGGAAGGUGAGGAUGACGUCAAGUCAGCAUGCCCCUUAUAUCCCGGGCUACACACGUGCUACAAUGGUUAAGACAAUGAGUCGCUAGUUCGCGAGGAUAUGCUAAUCUCAUAAACUUAAUCUUAGAUCGGAUUGUAGGCUGCAACUCGCCUACAUGAAGUUGGAAUCGCUAGUAAUCGCCAGUCAGAUAUAUGGCGGUGAAUACGUUCCCGGGCCUUGUACACACCGCCCGUCACACCAUGGAAGUUGGCCAAACCUGAAGUUGUUUUCUUAACUUUAAUUAGAGAGAAAUUACUAAGGUUGGGUUGGUAACUGGGGUGAAGUCGUAACAAGGUA